GACGAACGCUGGCGGCGUGCUUAACACAUGCAAGUCGAACGGAAAGGCCCUGCUUUUGUGGGGUGCUCGAGUGGCGAACGGGUGAGUAACACGUGAGUAACCUGCCCUUGACUUUGGGAUAACUUCAGGAAACUGGGGCUAAUACCGGAUAGGAGCUCCUGCUGCAUGGUGGGGGUUGGAAAGUUUCGGCGGUUGGGGAUGGACUCGCGGCUUAUCAGCUUGUUGGUGGGGUAGUGGCUUACCAAGGCUUUGACGGGUAGCCGGCCUGAGAGGGUGACCGGCCACAUUGGGACUGAGAUACGGCCCAGACUCCUACGGGAGGCAGCAGUGGGUAAUAUUGCACAAUGGGCGGAAGCCUGAUGCAGCAACGCCGCGUGCGGGAUGACGGCCUUCGGGUUGUAAACCGCUUUCGCCUGUGACGAAGCGUGAGUGACGGUAAUGGGUAAAGGAGCAGCGGCUAACUACGUG
Molecule: ribosomal RNA, 468 nt
Filed under: uncultured bacterium
Lineage: Bacteria
Description: partial 16S ribosomal RNA
Rfam family: Bacterial small subunit ribosomal RNA
Source: RNAcentral